GGGGGGGGGGAGGCGCAAACGCGCGAGUGGCUGCUCCUUAAUAAAAAUAAAAAUAAAAAUUCCCUCCUUUUGAAAUAAACUCACGGCGAGCCCAGCCGAGCCCCUUCGCUUCCCGAAGAGCUCCCCCCCCCCAAAAAAAACCAACCCAACAACCCCAGGCGGUGCCCCCGGGCAUCGCUGAGGGCUGGAGCCUGGGAAAUAACCCGGGAAUUCCGGGAAACGCCGGGUACCGGGCACCGGCCCCCGCCCCGGGACCCGCACACACGCUGCGGGGAGUAUUUUAAAGGUUAAACCCAUGGUUUAUAUUUGAUUUUUUUAAUAAAAAGACCAUAAACCGGCGAUUUUUCGGCGCACACCCUCGAUUUCCUGCGAUUUUAUAAGCACCGUCGGUGUGGUGUUUUUUAUAUUAUUAUUAUUAUUAUUAUUAUUAUUUGUUUAAUGGGCACAGAUUAGGAGCAGAGUCCCCCUGGCAUUUACCGAACGCUGAUCAAAGCUGGGGGUGUCCCCGCAAGGAGCAGAUUUCACCCCCCCCGGUGCCGGUCGGAGGCGGGGGGGGGACAUCGGCAGCGUCCCCCACCGCGGUGUUUUAUGAAGUUCUCCCCGGCUCCGUGAUUUCCCCCUCCUCUGUUUGAGAAACGACUUUCUUUUCCUUCUCUUUUCCUCCACAAACGCUAAUCACGGCUUAUCAGAGAAAUGUCCAUUUCAAGUUGUUCUCCAAUUUUCUUCCCUAUUUUGGAUUUAUUUUGGUUUUUUUUUAAUUAUUAUUUUCUUCCCCCUCCCCAAUGAAUAAUAUUUUCUCUAUUCCGCCAGCUCCCCAAACCCCGAAAGAACGACAAAGAAAUGAAAUCAGGAAUCGAUUCCUUCCGCACAGCGUGGUUUGGGGAUCGGGUUGAAUAAAAAAAAUAUUAUUUUUAAAAGACCCAAAGGGAGCAAAACCUCCCCAAAAGCUCCUGGGGACGUGGCAAACGCGGCCGGUACCGUGCGCCCGGGUUAUUCCAGCUCCUCCAGCCGCAGGCAAGCGCAAGAGAGGUGGAGAAAGAGAUUUGGGGAAUCGCGCCGCUGGUUUCUACAAAAAUCUCCCGUGAGUUUCGGAACGCGGAGAACACCGUUUGGAAAAGAAAAAAAAAAAAUAAUAAAUAUUAAAAAAAAUCUCUUUCGCUUCUCCCUCUCUUGGCAAAUCCGCAAGACCAACGAGAUGAAGCGUUUUCCCCGCAAAAAAAAAAAUAAAAUAAAAUUAAAGAAAUCCUCAUUCCGGACCCGAGAGUGAGGACGGCGGCUUCGCCCACCAGGUUAUGCUUUAAAAAGUGGAUUAUUUUCUUUUUCCCGCUUUACCCCAAAGUAGGAAUUAAAGAAAUUGGCGACUUUUGCCUUCAGAGGAGGCUCGGGUGCCUCUCGGCUCCGCGCUGGGCGCCCACACCUUCAUUUAUUUAUUUUUUUGGGAGCCUCGCAAAGCCGUGCUUUAUUUUUUCUCAGCUGGAACUUUGAAGAGGAGGGAUUGGAGCCAUCAGGUCAUCCCAAUUUUUUUUUUCGGAAUUACCUCUGAAAUCAGGGGGGAAAUGCUGGCUCCUCCGUUUGAAGGCAGCCCAGGAGUUUUGUACCCGGCUCAUAAAUAAAUAUGAAUUUAUUUCUUUUUUCCA
Molecule: long non-coding RNA, 1637 nt
Filed under: Calidris pugnax (ruff)
Lineage: Eukaryota; Metazoa; Chordata; Aves; Charadriiformes; Scolopacidae
Description: lncRNA (ENSCPUG00000018058.1)
Source: RNAcentral